GGAUUCCCCUAGUAACUGCGAGUGAAGCGGGAAAAGCUCAAAUUUAAAAUCUAAUGGUCCUUGGCCAUUCGAGUUGUAAUUUAGAGAAGCGUCUUCCGCGCCAGACCAUGUACAAGUCUCCUGGAACGGAGCGUCAUAGAGGGUGAGAAUCCCGUCUUUGACAUGGACCCUUGGUGCUUCUGUGAUGCGCUCUCAAAGAGUCGAGUUGUUUGGGAAUGCAGCUCAAAAUGGGUGGUGAACUCCAUCUAAGGCUAAAUAUUGGCGAGAGACCGAUAGCGAACAAGUACCGUGAGGGAAAGAUGAAAAGCACUUUGGAAAGAGAGUGAAACAGUACGUGAAAUUGUUGAAAGGGAAACACUUGAAGUCAGUCGCGUCGAUCGAGACUCAGCCUUGCCUCGGCUUGGCGUACUUCUCGACUUGACGGGCCAGCAUCAAUUUCAUCCCUCGGAUAAUGGCAGGGGAAAGGUGGCACCUUCACCGGUGUGUUAUAGUCUCUUGUCGCAUGCGAGGGGUGGGAUUGAGGAACUCAGCACGCACCUCACGGUGUCGGGGCUUCGGCCCACGUUACGUGCUCAGGAUGCCGGCGUAAUGGCUUUAAAUGACCCGUCUUGAAACACGGACCAAGGAGUCUAACAUGCCUGCGAGUGUUCGGGUGGAAAACCCGUGUGCGUAAUGAAAGUAAAAGUUGGGACCUCUGUCGUGGAGGGCACCGACGCCCGGACCAGACCUUCUGUGACGGAUCUGCGGUAGAGCAUGCAUGUUGGGACCCGAAAGAUGGUGAACUAUGCCUGAAUAGGGUGAAGCCAGAGGAAACUCUGGUGGAGGCUCGUAGCGAUUCUGACGUGCAAAUCGAUCGUCAAAUUUGGGUAUAGGGGCGAAAGACUAAU
This 887-nucleotide ribosomal RNA is filed under the name Lactifluus cf. volemus I KH-2011. Its description in RNAcentral is "LSU rRNA". It matches the Rfam family "Eukaryotic large subunit ribosomal RNA", at positions 72 to 935 of the family's 3401-position model. The record is from RNAcentral. Lineage: Eukaryota; Fungi; Basidiomycota; Agaricomycetes; Russulales; Russulaceae.